CCUACGGGUGGCUGCAGUGAGGAAUAUUGGUCAAUGGGCGCAAGCCUGAACCAGCCAAGUCGCGUGAGGGAAGACGGCCCUACGGGUUGUAAACCUCUUUUGCCGGGGAGCAAGCCUGAGCACGUGUGCCCAGGCGGAGAGUACCCGGAGAAAAAGCAUCGGCUAACUCCGUGCCAGCGGCCGCGGUAAUACGGAGGAUGCGAGCGUUAUCCGGAUUUAUUGGGUUUAAAGGGUGCGUAGGCGGAAUGCCAAGUCAGCGGUAAAAUCGCGGGGCUCAACCUCGCUCCGCCGUUGAAACUGGCGUUCUUGAGUGGGCGAGAAGUAUGCGGAAUGCGUGGUGUAGCGGUGAAAUGCAUAGAUAUCACGCAGAACUCCGAUUGCGAAGGCAGCAUACCGGCGCCCAACUGACGCUGAAGCACGAAAGCGUGGGUAUCGAACAGGAUUAGAUACCCGUGUAGUC
RNAcentral lists this ribosomal RNA (460 nucleotides) under uncultured bacterium. RNAcentral's name for it is "partial 16S ribosomal RNA". It matches the Rfam family "Bacterial small subunit ribosomal RNA", at positions 338 to 795 of the family's 1533-position model. The record is from RNAcentral.